This is a long non-coding RNA of Astatotilapia calliptera (eastern happy), 3522 nucleotides long. Lineage: Eukaryota; Metazoa; Chordata; Actinopteri; Cichliformes; Cichlidae. The record is from Ensembl.
GAAUGCCUACACCUGCGUUACACAACACCAUCUCAUGGAUGAACAAGGGUGGGUAAAGCAGGUCUACAUCCAGCGCACCCUUAUCUUCUGUAACAAAGCUGCUGAAGAGGAUUAUGCUGCUGUUGCCUCAGAAACUUAGUCACCAGUGGAAAGAGAGCACAGAGAGGGGUGGGGAGUCCACGCAGAGAGUAGAAACAGACAGGCAGGCGAUACUACUGCUACAACCCUUCACACACACACAGCACCAGCUUUUUCUUUCUUUCUUUCUUUUUUUUAGGCUGACACAGAUUUUUUCUAAAACCUGCCACCAUGUGGCACCCUUUGAUUAUCGGCAUCAUGACAGUGAACACCUCUCUAACCGUCUUCUACUGGGCCUUCAUCCUGGGCGAUGCUUACUACAAGUGGCUGAUGGAGCCAGAAGACAAGCCCAAGAAGCCUUGGAUUCCUGUUUUGAACUGAAAAAAUAACCUAAAGCAAUCUGCAAGUUGAUGAGAAGAAUCAUUCUUACAGAGCUGCUUCUGUACAGUUCACCCCAGAAUUCAAAAACAAAAAACCAGAGGAAUCGUCUCAACUCUUUGCUGCAGACUGGAUAUUUGGCCCCAAACCAGUGGAGGAUGAUUCAGAGGGAGGGGAUGCAGAAAUAGAGGAAGAGAGGCGACUCAGCGUUUCCAGCAAGCUGUUGGAGAAAGAUGAGAUCAGAAUGGAGGAAGAAAAAGAAGGCCAGCUGCCUGGUUUCCACCAGGGAGACGCAGGCCGCUGUCGUCCAUCCACCCCUCCGCUGAGAAGCGCCAUUGCUUCGUCAUACCCUGGAGAAAAAAGGAUUUCCACACAUAGCGUGACCUUCGCCUGCCCCGUGGCCCCUUACGUCACUUCCCUUUGAGUUUUUUCAUCACAGCAGUUUUUAUUACGUCUUAAUCACAGUGCAGUGAUCAGUGAUGUCCUCGCUGUAGUGAUGCAGAGGCUGAGGCACUCUUGUUUUAUGCUGGUGUUAUAGUUAGCGUGCAAAAAAUGUACAAGAAAAUGUUGUUAGUAAGCACGAUCCAUACUGUCAGUCUGUUUCUACUGCACCAUGCUGAAAUUCGCUGUCCAGCUGCUCGUGGUAAAAACUGUAAACAAAUUAAGUUUCAAGUAAAAAUAUCAGUUAUGUUAAUAACUUAACUUUACAUCUAAAAAUGUUCAUUGGAAACACACUGUGUCCAGUUCGUCCACAAGGCUAGACAGAAAGUGUUGUGAAAUUGCAAAAUCAAAAAGACUUGUCAUGUUACAUGUGCUUGUAAUGUGUUUCUAAAGAAAACGUACAUCACUUCUCCUGGUGUUGGACUAAGCUUCUCCCCAAUAAACAACUCGAUAAUACACGCUCGUUCCUCCUGUCUUGUCUGCUUUCAUUAAUCCAUCUUACCUUCUCCUAAUACCUGCUUGUGCCCAGGGUGAUGACCUUGUUUAUAAAUGCAGAGGAUUAUUGCACUUGAGCAUAUUAAAUACAGCUGAGUGAUGUAAGAUAGAUAGAUAGAUAGAUAGAUAGAUAGAUAGAUAGAUAGAUAGAUAGAUAGAUAGAUAGAUAGAUAGAUUUCUACAGAGAGAAAAACAGGAAUCUUGUUCACAUGAGAUACAGCUUUGCAUUUAUUUUAAAUCUUACUUUAGCAGUCAUUAGUCAUAAGGCUGAUCAGCUGUGAAUUAGAGGAUCUUCACAGCUUCCUUGAUUCAUGCAAAGAGUUUCAUUCACGAUUUCCUGAAUUUUGAGUAAUUUUGCUGUUGUUACAAUGCUGACAUUGGAGAAUGUGAUAUUUCCUCCUGAUCUCUUUGUAUUUUGCACAGAACGUUCUGUGCGAUUAAAUCUUUGUGCCGGCUUCUUAAUACAGCGAUGACCCACAGAUAUUAACUGGACUCGCAGGCUGACAGCAGAGGCAGCCAGACUGCAAUGGACAGCUUAAACGUUCGUCACAAAGAGGAAGAUGGCACAGUGUUAUUUGAGUCAUAUAUCCCUCCUUCUCGGGAUGCUAUCCACCUGCCCACCUACGUCCUCUACUUGCUCAUAGCCGUCUUCGUCGUGUUUUCGGUUCUCUACGCCAUCACGGGCCACCUCAUCAAAGACCUCAUCCAUGACUGUGCAGACUGGCUGUUUGGGGAGCAGCCUGCAGAAGUGGUGGUGAACUACUGUGAGGCCAAGGAUAAGUUCAUGGCAGACUGGUCCCCACAAACCAGCCCUGAAGUAGAGGCAAUGGCCCGGGAAGAGGAGAACAAGGUGAUUGACAGAGACUUUAUGAAAUCCCCUGCCAUCUGGAUCAUCUCUACAGAACCACAAGGGGCAAAAACAGGACCCCGGGUGGUCUUUGGGAAUAGGACUUGAACCCAUCAGAGACUUGCUGUCGUUACAGACCUUCUGUAUGUGAUGUGAAUGUAUAAAUAUCUAGAUGGAUGAUGAAGGUAAAGAACCAUUUCUGUGUGAGGCUCAAAAUAGAUUAUUAGAUUUAAUUUCAAUAUUUUGCAAAAUAAGAUUAAAAAGUAAGAUUAAAGAUUUUAGUAUAAGCCUUCGUGUGGAUUUUUUUUAAAUAUAAAUGUUUUGUGGAACAUGUGCAUGUAGCACUGAUCUAUCAUGUGGAGUAGUAAACAAGUAUCUUGUGAAAAUAGUUCUGAAAAGUUAAGCCAUGAAAGUAAUGGUACAAUUACACUCUUCUCAAUAAUAAUGAUGAUUUGUCUGUUAACAAUAAUUAUCAUUAUUAUUAUUUUUAGGUAGCCUCAGUUGGUCUGCUGCUGAAUUUAUUUAUUAAUUAUUUAUGUUUGUGUUUAUAUUCAGCUUUUUCACGUUUGGAUAAGGUGUAACUUCGUAACUACUGUAUAGAAAUGUACACCGCACAAAAAGGACAAGGCAGCUAAUUUGGCAGCAGACAUUUCUAAACAGAAUAUAAUGCUGCACAGUAAACAGGACCACCCCACUUGCAUUUGAGAUGCAAUGGUAAGCGAGAAAAGCACCUCCUGUGGUGAGAUGCAUGGCACUGCACGCUGAGACAGUGACGUGGUCUAAUGUUAUUCCAAACUCGCAGUUUCUCAUUAAGUUUCUUCAUUUAAAUGUGAAUGUAACUGCCUCUCUUUUUGUGUAUAAUGGCUGAAGGCUUCAGCGGUCCUAUAAGGACAUCUAGUGUCUGCUGUAGUCAUUACAGCUGAAUAUUAUUUCAAACUGGAAAACCUCUGGAAAUAAGGUAACUCAUUUAAAAAAAAGAGAGAGAGAGAAAAUAUGACAAUGAUCUUCAGAAUCUUUGAUUUCAACAAUUAAUAUUUUAUAUCUUAAAAAUGUGGUAGGUAGUUGCACUUUAUUCUACAUUUCUCCUUUACUUUCAUGUAUUUAUUUAUUUGAGAAAGCUCUAAACUCACUCCACACGCUUUAGAGUUUUCAGACCUUUUCACAAACGUAUUCUACAUUUCAUAGACUAUUUAGUUUCUCAUAAGUCUAAAGAUCAGUCGUAGAUUUCGAUGCAAAAUCAAUCAGUAAAUAAAUAAAUAAAAGCUUUUCCAGUUGUCUGUAAA